Molecule: long non-coding RNA, 1337 nt
Filed under: Oryctolagus cuniculus (rabbit)
Lineage: Eukaryota; Metazoa; Chordata; Mammalia; Lagomorpha; Leporidae
Description: lncRNA (ENSOCUG00000039176.1)
Source: RNAcentral
AUUCAUCAGCUUUGAUGCCAAAGCUUCUAGUUUUGUUGUCCCCUAAAGACCUCUGUGUUAACAGCUCAGUCCCCAAAGUCUUAUGUUGACAGUUGGUGGAUUAUAAGUAAUGGUUAAUGGAUUAAGGGUGAGGACCUAAUCCAGUCGUGCUGUGUGAAGCUGCCAUCUUUGGAAGUGAUUCCAGUGGGCCAGGUUGCUGGGGUGGAGCCCCAUGACCGAAUCAGAGCGACGUCAUAAAGAAAAGCUGCACAGGCAGAGAUGGUGCUGUCACCAGGCGAUCUUUACCCUGCAUGUGCUUCCCAUUGUCCUGGCUCACCAGUGGAGCUGCACUCUUGGACUGUGAACUUACAAAUCUAUGGGCAGAAAUAAGCCCAUUUCCUUCAGAAGUGGCCGGAGCCAGGUGUUUUCAGUGAUGAAAAGUUGACUAAUACGAUAGAUAUACCUGACAUGACCUAGAUGUACUGGAUUUGAAUCUCCAGGGGCAGAACUCCACUUUCUGUUCCACAUCCUGCCUCCUCAACCCUCAAGAUGAACCCCGGAAAAGAGAGAGGAAUGAAUGAAAAGGAAAGGCCAAACGCCAAGAGGUCAUUCAGGCCAGAUUCACGUGGUCUUCAGAUGGAAAGACCUGAGGUAGCACCUGGCUGUUUUGCCCUGGCAAAGAGCACCAAGAUGGGAACGCGAGGAAGAAAACCGAGGAUGGACCCAGUACAAUGAACCCAGAACUGCUCAGAGGAUUCAUGGACCUAAGGAGCUUGUUGAAUGUAGCUGGAAGGAUUUUUCCCCUGGAGAGAAACACAGGCCAAGGUAACUUACUGGAGAAUAACGACUGAACGGCUUCCAGGGCAAAUCCUCAGCCGCAGGUGGAUCAAGUGUCUCACAGAGGUCAGAGGGCACCUCUGUCUCCCCCGUCUGUCCACCACCCUACAGGCGUCGCCCUCAGCACUGCUCACUCCAUGCAUGUGACGCUGGGUUUCAUGAGUGAAUCUGGGCUGUAAGUCACAGUUUUUGGUUAAAACUUACUCCUCAUGUAGGAUCUUUGUCCUUAGUGUGCUGUACAUUGAGAUUUAAUGCUAUAACUAGUACUCAAACAGUAUUUUUCACUUUAUGUUUCUGUGUGGGAGCAAACUGUUGAAAUCUUUACUUAAUGUAUGCUAAACUGAUCUUCUGUAUAGAAAGAGAAACGAAAAUGAAUCUUGAUGUGAAUGGAAGGGGAGAGGGAGUGGGAAAGGGGAGGGUUGCGGGUAGGAGGGACGUUAUGGGGGGGAAGCCAUUGUAGUCCAUAAGCUGUACUUUGGAAAUUUAUAUUCAUUAAAUAAAAGUUUAAAAAAAAAAAAACA